ACGGGUGAGUAACACGUGGGCAACCUACCUUAUCGACUGGGAUAACUCCGGGAAACCGGGGCUAAUACCGGAUAACAUCUAGCACCUCCUGGUGCUGGAUUAAAAGAGGGCUUCUUGCUCUCACGAUGAGAUGGGCCCGCGGCGCAUUAGCUAGUUGGAGAGGUAACGGCUCCCCAAGGCGACGAUGCGUAGCCGACCUGAGAGGGUGAUCGGCCACACUGGGACUGAGACACGGCCCAGACUCCUACGGGAGGCAGCAGUAGGGAAUCUUCCGCAAUGGACGAAAGUCUGACGGAGCAACGCCGCGUGAGUGAUGAAGGGUUUCGGCUCGUAAAGCUCUGUUAUGAGGGAAGAACACGUACCGUUCGAAUAGGGCGGUACCUUGACGGUACCUCAUCAGAAAGCCACGGCUAACUACGUGCCAGCAGCCGCGGUAAUACGUAGGUGGCAAGCGUUGUCCGGAAUUAUUGGGCGUAAAGCGCGCGCAGGCGGCCUUUUAAGUCUGAUGUGAAAUCUUGCGGCUCAACCGCAAGCGGCCAUUGGAAACUGGAAGGCUUGAGUACAGAAGAGGAGAGUGGAAUU
This 582-nucleotide ribosomal RNA is filed under the name uncultured bacterium. RNAcentral describes it as "bacterial SSU rRNA". It matches the Rfam family "Bacterial small subunit ribosomal RNA", at positions 102 to 668 of the family's 1533-position model. The record is from RNAcentral.